Molecule: transfer RNA, 68 nt
Filed under: Stephanitis mendica
Lineage: Eukaryota; Metazoa; Arthropoda; Insecta; Hemiptera; Tingidae
Description: tRNA-Pro
Source: RNAcentral
CAGUGGGUAUUUUAAUAAAAAAUAUUAAUUUUGGAGAUUAAAGAAAAAGAAAUUUUCUUUUCUACUGA